AGCAUGUGGUUUAAUUCGACGCAACGCGAAAACCUUACCUGGGCUUGACAUGGAGAGAAUCUUCUGGAAACAGAAGAGUGCCUCGUAAGAGGAGCUCUCACACAGGUGCUGCAUGGCUGUCGUCAGCUCGUGCCGUGAGGUGUUGGGUUAAGUCCGCAACGAGCGCAACCCCUGUGGUUAGUUGCCAGCAAGUAGCGUUGGGCACUCUAGCCAGACUGCCGGUGAUAAAUCGGAGGAAGGUGGGGACGACGUCAAAUCAUCAUGCCCUUUAUGUCCUGGGCUACACACGUACUACAAUGGCCGUUACAACGGGAAGCGAAGGAGCAAUCCGGAGCAAAUCCCUUAAAGGCGGUCCCAGUUCAGAUUGUGGGCUGAAACUCGCCCACAUGAAGGCGGAAUUGCUAGUAAUUGCAGAUCAGCAUGCUGCAGUGAAUACGUUCCCGGGCCUU
Molecule: ribosomal RNA, 449 nt
Filed under: uncultured Oscillospiraceae bacterium
Lineage: Bacteria; Bacillati; Bacillota; Clostridia; Eubacteriales; Oscillospiraceae
Description: bacterial SSU rRNA
Rfam family: Bacterial small subunit ribosomal RNA
Source: RNAcentral